UCCCUGAAGGACUAGUGGUUAGGCCUCGGCACUCUUACUGCCGCAGCCCGGGUUCGAUUCUCGGCCAGGGAA
Molecule: non-coding RNA, 72 nt
Organism: Pangasianodon gigas (Mekong giant catfish)
Lineage: Eukaryota; Metazoa; Chordata; Actinopteri; Siluriformes; Pangasiidae
Source: the annotation of a GenBank genome assembly